RNAcentral lists this ribosomal RNA (484 nucleotides) under uncultured bacterium. RNAcentral's name for it is "partial 16S ribosomal RNA". It matches the Rfam family "Bacterial small subunit ribosomal RNA", at positions 28 to 523 of the family's 1533-position model. The record is from RNAcentral.
GACGAACGCUGGCGGCGUGCUUAACACAUGCAAGUCGAACGAUGAAGCCGGAGCUUGCUCUGGUGAAUUAGUGGCGAACGGGUGAGUAACACGUGAGUAACCUGCCCUUGACUCUGGGAUAACUGCUAGAAAUGGUAGAUAAUACCGGAUACGACCCUCGGAGGCAUCUCCAGGGGGUGGAAAGAAUUUCGGUCAAGGAUGGACUCGCGGCCUAGCAGCUAGUUGGUGAGGUAACGGCUCACCAAGGCGACGACGGGGAGCCGGCCUGAUAGCGUGACCGGCCACACUGGGACUGUAACUCGGCACGGACGCCGACGGGAGGCAGGAGUGGGGAAUAUUGCACAAUGGGCGCAAGCCUGAUGCAACAACGCCGCGUGAGGGAUGACGGCCUUCGGGUUGUAAACCUCUUUUAGUAGGGAAGAAGCGAAAGUGACGAUACCUGCAGAAAAAGCACCGGCUAACUACGUGCCAGCCGCCGCCGUAA